AGAGUUUGAUCCUGGCUCAGGAUAAACGCUGGCGGCGUGCCUAAAACAUGCAAGUCGAACGGUCAUGCGCCUUCGGGCGUGUGGUAGUGGCGGACGGCUGAGUAACACGUGGGUGACCUGCCCUCGAGCGGGGGAUAACUGCCCGAAAGGGUGGCUAAUACCGCAGAUGUCGGUGAUUCGGUUCACUGACUGAACUUACGGGGUUCGGGGAGGGGCCCGCGGUCGAUUAGCUAGCUGGUGGGGUAAUGGCCUACCAGGGCUUCGAUCGAUAGCUGGUCUGAGAGGAUGAUCAGCCAGACUGGGACUGCGAACGGCCCAGACUCCUACGGGAGGCAGCAGUUAGGAAUUUUGGGCAAUGGGCGAAAGCCUGACCCAGCAACGCCGCGUGGGUGAUGAAGGCCCUCGGGUCGUAAAGCCCUUUUCCCAGGGACGAUGGUGACGGUACCUGGGGAAUCAGCCCCGGCUAACUACGUGCCAGCAGCCGCGGUAAUACGUAGGGGGCAAGCGUUGUCCGGAUUUAUUGGGCGUAAAGCGCUCGCAGGUGGUCCGAUACGUCGUGCGUGAAAGACCCCGGCUCAACUGGGGAGGGUCGUGCGAUACGGUCGGACUGGAGGCCAGUAGGGGGAUGCGGAAUUCCGGGUGUAGUGGUGGAAUGCGUAGAGAUCCGGAGGAACACCAGCGGCGAAGGCGGCAUCCUGGACUGGUCCUGACACUCAGGAGCGAAAGCGUGGGGAGCGAUCCGGAUUAGAUACCCUAGUAGUCC
Molecule: ribosomal RNA, 763 nt
Filed under: uncultured bacterium
Lineage: Bacteria
Description: bacterial SSU rRNA
Rfam family: Bacterial small subunit ribosomal RNA
Source: RNAcentral